AUGGCGAAUUCUCGCAUUGCAAGGUUUUUCAUGGAAGUGGCACCACCACAAUAUGUUAGUGUGAUGAGGCAUAGAACAUCAAAGAUGAUGGAAACAAUCACUGAAGAGGAUAGAGAAAUUAGCUUGAAUGAUGGUGUAACUUCACCACCAAAAAUUCCAUCCGCAAUUUCAGCUUCUUCUACCAAUGCAAGUGUUAAUACUGGGUACUUUUUGAAGGAAGUUCAUAGAACACUCUCAAGUAUGAAUAACUAG
This is a non-coding RNA of Vicia faba (fava bean), 252 nucleotides long. Lineage: Eukaryota; Viridiplantae; Streptophyta; Magnoliopsida; Fabales; Fabaceae. The record is from the annotation of a GenBank genome assembly.